Molecule: ribosomal RNA, 257 nt
Filed under: uncultured bacterium
Lineage: Bacteria
Description: partial 16S ribosomal RNA
Rfam family: Bacterial small subunit ribosomal RNA
Source: RNAcentral
UACGAGGAGAGCAAGUGUUAUCCGUCGUGAUUGGGCGUAAAGCGCCGUAUAGGUGGAAUAUAGUUGUACUUGAAUAAAAUACUGUGGGUAAAUCAUAGGAAUUUAAGAUAUACAUAUAUUCUCGAGAUAAAAUCAGGUUUGUAGAGUAUCCUAAUGAGAUUUAAAAGUCAUAUAAGUUGGAUAAAAUGCCAUAUUGGUGAAGGCUUCUUUCUAGAUUUAUCUGACGCUGGUUGGCGAAAGUAUGGGGAGCAAAAAGG